This 468-nucleotide ribosomal RNA is filed under the name uncultured bacterium. Its description in RNAcentral is "partial 16S ribosomal RNA". It matches the Rfam family "Bacterial small subunit ribosomal RNA", at positions 28 to 507 of the family's 1533-position model. The record is from RNAcentral.
GACGAACGCUGGCGGCGUGCUUAACACAUGCAAGUCGAACGGAAAGGCCCUGCGCUUGCGGGGUGCUCGAGUGGCGAACGGGUGAGUAACACGCGAGUAACCUGCCCUUGACUUUGGGAUAACUCCAGGAAACUGGGGCUAUUACCGGAUAGGAGCUCCUGCUGCAUGGUGGGGGUUGGAAAGUUUCGGCGGUUCGGGAUGGUCUCGCUGCUUAUCAGCUUGAUGGUCGGGUAGUGGAUUUCCAAGGCUUUGACGGGUAGCCGGCCUGAGAGGGUUACCGGGCACAUUGGGACUGCGAGACGGCGCAGACGGCUACGGGAGGCAGCGGUGGGGAACAUUGCACAAUGGGGGGAAGUCUGAUACAGCAACGCCGCGAGCGGGAUGACGGGUUUCGGGUUGUAAACAGCUUUCGCCGGAGACGAGGCGUGAGUGACGGUAAUGGGUAAAGAAGCACCGGCUAACUACGUG